CAGUAGCCGCGGGAAUACGUAGGGUGCGAGCGUUAAUCGGAAUUACUGGGCGUAAAGCGUGCGCAGGCGGUUGUGUAAGACAGGUGUGAAAUCCCCGGGCUUAACCUGGGAACUGCGCUUGUGACUGCACAGCUAGAGUAUGGCAGAGGGGGGUGGAAUUCCACGUGUAGCAGUGAAAUGCGUAGAGAUGUGGAGGAACACCGAUGGCGAAGGCAGCCCCCUGGGCCAAUACUGACGCUCAUGCACGAAAGCGUGGGGAGCGAACAGGAUUAGAUACCCAGGUAGUCCCUGUCUCUUAUAC
RNAcentral lists this ribosomal RNA (301 nucleotides) under uncultured bacterium. Its description in RNAcentral is "partial 16S ribosomal RNA". It matches the Rfam family "Bacterial small subunit ribosomal RNA", at positions 509 to 807 of the family's 1533-position model. The record is from RNAcentral.